RNAcentral lists this ribosomal RNA (468 nucleotides) under uncultured bacterium. RNAcentral's name for it is "partial 16S ribosomal RNA". It matches the Rfam family "Bacterial small subunit ribosomal RNA", at positions 28 to 507 of the family's 1533-position model. The record is from RNAcentral.
GACGAACGCUGGCGGCGUGCCUAACACAUGCAAGUCGAACGGACUGGCCCUGCUUAUGUGGGGUGCUCGAAUGGCGACAGGGUGAGUUACCUGUGGGUUACCUGUACUUGAGUUUGGGUUAUCUUCAGGCCACUGGGGCUCAUCGCGGAUAGGAUUUAUUGCUGCAUGGUGGGGGCUGGACUGUUUCGGUGGUUGGGGAUGUACUCGCGGAUUAUCAGCUUGUUGGUGGGGUAGUGGCUUACCAAGGCUUUGACGGGUAGCCGGCCUGCGCGGGUGACCGGCCACAUUGGGACUGAGAUGCGGCCCAGACUCCUACGGGAGGCAGCAGUGCAGAAUAUUGCACAAUGGGCGGAAGCCUGAUGCAGCAACGCCGCGUGCGGGAUAACGGCCUUCGGGUUGUAAACCGCUUUCGCCUGUGACGAAGCGUGAGUGACGGUAAUGGGUAAAGAAGCACCGGCUAACUACGUG